GAAAGGAUAUGCUCAGUUCACGAUGGUAUCGUGUGAAAGAAGAGGAGAUGGGUUACUGGGGGAGGACUCAGUGUCUCUGCCACACACGUCCACUGCUUCAUCUGAUCCUCCCAACAGCCCUAUAACACCAGCAGUGUAUGCAUCAUGAUCUCCAUUUUACUGAUGACACAGAGGUUAAGUGACUGAACUGGCAAAAAACAAGUGAAAAGCCGACUGAGAACUUGAAACCAGGCCUUCUGAUACUAUGCUGGAGAAGGAACCAUGUUGUUUGCUGUGUGGCCAACAGCUCAGUUCAGCAAUUGAGGAUUCAGUUUCAUUCAGGAGGAUGUGGUUAUUGAAUCAUUCCAAUGUCCACUUGAUGCCAAGUUUCCUGAGGGACUCCGGCCUAGAUGCACAGCUUCUCUGGGCCUGGUGCCUCUCUGGGAAAUGCCAGCCAUAAGCCUGAGCCUGGGAGAGAGAGCAGAUUCCAUUCUUCCUGUAUCCAGAGCAGCAGUCACAUAGCUGUGUUUUGCAGAGCAGGCGCUGAGGCACGGAGAGAAGAAGUGGCCGUCCAGGGUCCCGCAGCCAGCGAGGGGUGGAGCGGGAUUUGAAUCUGCUCAGUCUGUGCUCUUAGCUGCCACACUAAUUCCUCCCAGCCUUGUUGUGGGGUUCAAAGAAAAUAUUGUUCACAAAAGCACGUUGUAACCAAGGACCCACAAGAGUGCUAUGCAGGCUGUCAAUGCUGAUUAAGAAGUCAGGCUUUUGAGGAUUUGUGACUCUUUCCUGGAGGCCUUGAGACGAAGGAGCCAGGAACGGCACCUUCAUCUGAUCCUGGAGCGUUGGGGAGAAGGAUCUGGCACCAUUUGGAGUGCUGAACCUCCUAGAGGUAAUGUCUCUGGAUCAGGUGUGAAGCGCUUGGCCCCUGGUUAGGGGCAGGACCUGCACUCCUGAAUGCCAGACGUGUUAUGGACGGAGAGAAACACCCACAAGAGAGCAAAGCUCUGGAAAAGAAGCAUGGCUUCGGGGGGACGGUGAGACUACGUCACUCCGCAAAGAUGGGAUGAAGGCAAACGGAAGGAGACAAAGCAGCGAUGUUUGUUGUGGGACAAGAGAGAUUUCCAACGGGACUGGCACAAGGGAGCUGAGGCUUCUUAUUAAGCAGCUACUGUGUACCAGGAACUGUGCAAAGCAAUUUCACAUGAAUUACCUCAAGUAAUACAAUAACUUUGGGCAGAACAUUCUAUUGUUUUCUUGUGUCCGUGCUCACGCAGCUAGCAAGGGUCAUAGCCAGAUCUACACUUGAUUCCAGAUCUUUCCGUUAUACCAGACUACCGACUCAUGUCCUAGCUUCAUUCCCAAUAGUCUGUUUUCAUUUACACCAAGAAAGAAGUAGCGAGGUUGUCUGAAACAUUUGAAUAUACCUUGCUUUUUCAUGGAGGUUUGCCUUGAAAGUUGUGUUUAAAUUGAUUAUGCAUAAACCAGAUCAUAUUUUUUAAAAUGUCACUGAAACCUUUAUAAAGGAAUUUGAUGAUAAAGC
This is a long non-coding RNA of Equus caballus (horse), 1516 nucleotides long. NCBI's taxonomy places the organism in Eukaryota, Metazoa, Chordata, Mammalia, Perissodactyla, Equidae. The record is from Ensembl.